RNAcentral lists this ribosomal RNA (497 nucleotides) under uncultured bacterium. RNAcentral describes it as "partial 16S ribosomal RNA". It matches the Rfam family "Bacterial small subunit ribosomal RNA", at positions 28 to 507 of the family's 1533-position model. The record is from RNAcentral.
GAUGAACGCUGGCGGCGUGCCUAAUACAUGCAAGUCGAGCGAACAGACGAGGAGCUUGCUCCUCUGACGUUAGCGGCGGACGGGUGAGUAACACGUGGAUAACCUACUUAUAAGACUGGGAUAACUUCGGGAAACCGGAGCUAAUACCGGAUAAUAUAUUGAACCGCAUGGUUCAAUAGUGAAAGACGGUUUUGCUGUCACUUAUAGAUGGUUCCGCGCCGCAUUAGCUAGUUGGUAAGGUAACGGCUUACCAAGGCGACGAUGCGUAGCCGACCUGAGAGGAUGAUCAGCCACACUGGAACUGAGACACGGUCCAGACUCCUACGGGAGGCAGCAGUAGGGAAUCUUCCGCAAUGGGCGAAAGCCUGACGGAGCAACGCCGCGUGAGUGAUGAAGGUCUUCGGAUCGUAAAACUCUGUUAUUAGGGAAGAACAAAUGUGUAAGUAACUAUGCACGUCUUGACGGUACCUAAUCAGAAAGCCACGGCUAACUACGUG